GCACCUUCUUCGUGUGACAUUGUAGACUCUACUCCCUAAAGCAGAUUGGAGGUUAUGAAUAAUAUUCGUAGCCUGUGAAAUGGCAUUCUAGGAAGGUUGACAAUAUAAAAAGAGAGCAGACAACUUUAUAUAGUUGUGGUAAUGGGGUUGAGGUAGUAUCUCUCUUUCAAUCAGUUAUACCAUAGAUUAUGGUAAUAUUUUCUGAGGAGAAACAGAAGAGUACCAUUAAUAUAACUAUAUGUAGAAUGAUGUGUCAAAU
Molecule: unclassified non-coding RNA, 259 nt
Filed under: Hevea brasiliensis (rubber tree)
Lineage: Eukaryota; Viridiplantae; Streptophyta; Magnoliopsida; Malpighiales; Euphorbiaceae
Source: RNAcentral